RNAcentral lists this ribosomal RNA (815 nucleotides) under Staphylococcus aureus. RNAcentral's name for it is "partial 23S ribosomal RNA". It matches the Rfam family "Bacterial large subunit ribosomal RNA", at positions 1603 to 2419 of the family's 2925-position model. The record is from RNAcentral. Lineage: Bacteria; Bacillati; Bacillota; Bacilli; Caryophanales; Staphylococcaceae.
CACUGCCGAGAAAAGCCUCUAGAUAGAAAAUAGGUGCCCGUACCGCAAACCGACACAGGUAGUCAAGAUGAGAAUUCUAAGGUGAGCGAGCGAACUCUCGUUAAGGAACUCGGCAAAAUGACCCCGUAACUUCGGGAGAAGGGGUGCUCUUUAGGGUUAACGCCCAGAAGAGCCGCAGUGAAUAGGCCCAAGCGACUGUUUAUCAAAAACACAGGUCUCUGCUAAACCGUAAGGUGAUGUAUAGGGGCUGACGCCUGCCCGGUGCUGGAAGGUUAAGAGGAGUGGUUAGCUUCUGCGAAGCUACGAAUCGAAGCCCCAGUAAACGGCGGCCGUAACUAUAACGGUCCUAAGGUAGCGAAAUUCCUUGUCGGGUAAGUUCCGACCCGCACGAAAGGCGUAACGAUUUGGGCACUGUCUCAACGAGAGACUCGGUGAAAUCAUAGUACCUGUGAAGAUGCAGGUUACCCGCGACAGGACGGAAAGACCCCGUGGAGCUUUACUGUAGCCUGAUAUUGAAAUUCGGCACAGCUUGUACAGGAUAGGUAGGAGCCUUUGAAACGUGAGCGCUAGCUUACGUGGAGGCGCUGGUGGGAUACUACCCUAGCUGUGUUGGCUUUCUAACCCGCACCACUUAUCGUGGUGGGAGACAGUGUCAGGCGGGCAGUUUGACUGGGGCGGUCGCCUCCUAAAAGGUAACGGAGGCGCUCAAAGGUUCCCUCAGAAUGGUUGGAAAUCAUUCAUAGAGUGUAAAGGCAUAAGGGAGCUUGACUGCGAGACCUACAAGUCGAGCAGGGUCGAAAGACGGACUUAGUGAU